AAAGAUUAAGCCAUGCAUGUCUAAGUACAUGCCGUAUUAAGGCGAAACCGCGAAUGGCUCAUUAAAUCAGUUACGGUUCCUUAGAUGUUGACUAUCUACAUGGAUAACUGUGGUAAUUCUAGAGCUAAUACAUGCACAAAAGCUUCGACCUUAGCGGAAGAAGCGCAUUUAUUAGACCAAGACCAAUGGGGUUCUUUACGGAACUCCUUUUUGUGGUGACUCUGGAUAACUAUUGCUAAUCGCAUGGCCUAUGAGCCGGCGAUGAAUCUUUCAAGUGUCUGCCUUAUCAACUGUCGAUGGUAGGUUAUGCGCCUACCAUGGUUGUAACGGGUAACGGGGAAUUAGGGUUCGAUUCCGGAGAGGGAGCCUGAGAAACGGCUACCACAUCCAAGGAAGGCAGCAGGCACGCAAAUUACCCAAUCCCAGAACGGGGAGGUAGUGACGAAAAAUAACAAUACGGGACUCUGUAUGAGGCCCCGUAAUGGAAUGAGAACAAUCUAAUCCUAACGAGA
RNAcentral lists this ribosomal RNA (512 nucleotides) under Tardigrada environmental sample. RNAcentral describes it as "SSU rRNA". It matches the Rfam family "Eukaryotic small subunit ribosomal RNA", at positions 39 to 542 of the family's 1831-position model. The record is from RNAcentral. Lineage: Eukaryota; Metazoa; Tardigrada.